This 1559-nucleotide long non-coding RNA is filed under the name Salmo salar (Atlantic salmon). Its description in RNAcentral is "lncRNA (ENSSSAG00000102883.1)". The record is from RNAcentral. Lineage: Eukaryota; Metazoa; Chordata; Actinopteri; Salmoniformes; Salmonidae.
GUGCUGUGUUCUGUUUCCGGUGUAGGCCGGAAGUUACGGUGUGGAAGUCACCCCUCUCCUGACCGCUCUGUGUGCCCAGCGUUAGGGUUAGGAGAGGGUCACACAUUGUUCAGUAGGAUGCAGAGCUGCAGACGCAGUGGCUGAUGGAUGGCCGUUCAGACUUGUUCCCUGGUUCAGCCUCAGACGGGAAACCGUAAUUCACACAGUGGAGGAACAUGAACACGGAUCAGGCCCCUCUCUGUUGCUCUGCACAAGUUUAUUCCUGAAUUCAGGAAGAGAUGAAGAGGUUCUGGGAGAGAGGGAGGGAGGGAGCUCAGUGGGCUAGGAUAGAAGGAUGGGACAGAGAGUAAAUCUUCACACACAGCUGUCCUCUAUCUCCUGUAGUAGGAUACCAGGACACUGCAGGUGAUGCUAUAUACAUACUAUCUCAUACUCAUUAAUGUCAUGGAACACCUACACAUGACUGAUAUACUGUACAGUCAAGCCUCAUUUACUGUACCUGUCCACCUUUAACAGUACGUUUCCAUCACAAACACACUAUCACACACUUGGUGUGGUCAACAAACAAAAAUAUUGGUGCGCCACAUGUGUGCACUCUCAAUGACCCCAACACACAUAGACACUGUACUGUUGACUAACCCCAUUCCGUACCAAAACCGCGGCAUUCAAACGAGGCUGCAAUGAAAACUAAUGGGACUGUAGAGACUGUGUUGGCAUCAAAAUCUGGGGUGUGAACUACGUUUCUAUUCAAGCGUUGAUUGACAUGGUAAUGGCCCAAUAGUAUUGGAGAAAAGUUGAAAAAACGGACCCCUCUGACGCUGUAGGUUAAAUUGUGACGUCAUGACAUAACGCACAGCAGGCAUAAUGCAACUUGUUCUUUGUCGUACAGCCUCUCUCCACCAGGUGUAGCGCUUCUCUCCCAGUUUAAAAACAAGAAAGGGACAGGGACAGGGUGAGGGGAGAUAUCUCGUCAAUUGUACAACUGAGUGCAUUCAUUUUUUGCUUCAUCACGUUUAGCCAACAUGACUCUCAAAAGCCGCUGUUAACUUCAGAAGAUAACUUCAGCGCCGCCCUAAAAACCCCAUUCAAAUUCGACACAAACCUUCAAAUAGGGAAGUUGCAUGCUGCUCAGUUGGAUCCUCUCCGGUCCACAUGCUCUUCCUGUCCAGGCCAGGGCCAGAUGAGGAGGUCACAGAUCACUCCUCCGGACAGGAACACCAGAUGACUUUACACAGUGAGAGCUCUAUGCAUGUUAUGUUCUAUGGACUUUAAACUGGGAUUUGUAUGUGCACUUUAGCUAGUAGGAGACGGAUACAGUGUGUUAUAUGUACUGUAUACCUUUAAAACAAAAUGAAUUCCUUUAGACAGCCUACUGUAUACAUUUCUCACUCAUAUUAAAGGAUGUUCAACACACGCACAGUAUGUGUCUUCAGCUGGUCUUAUCUAACUCAUUUUUUCUGACAUAAAAGCUUGCUAAUAAGCUUCCUAAGGGUUCCGCCCCCUGUUGAGGCUAGUUACUCAUGGGCCCAGACCCACUGGCUUAUAGCAGAUCACCAUGC